This 902-nucleotide ribosomal RNA is filed under the name uncultured bacterium. RNAcentral's name for it is "bacterial SSU rRNA". It matches the Rfam family "Bacterial small subunit ribosomal RNA", at positions 8 to 916 of the family's 1533-position model. The record is from RNAcentral.
AGAGUUUGAUCAUGGCUCAGGACGAACGCUGGCUGCGUGCUUAACACAUGCAAGUCGAACGCUGAAGCCCUCAGCUUGCUGGGGGUGGAUGAGUGGCGAACGGGUGAGUAACACGUGAGUAACCUGCCCUGACUUCGGGAUAAGCCCGGGAAACUGGGUCUAAUACCGGAUAUGAGCAUGGCCCGCAUGGGUGGUGCUGGAAAGUUUUUUCGGUUGGGGAUGGGCUCGCGGCCUAUCAGCUUGAUGGUGGGGUAAUGGCCUACCAUGGCGACGACGGGUAGCCGGCCUGAGAGGGCGACCGGCCACACUGGGACUGAGACACGGCCCAGACUCCUACGGGAGGCAGCAGUGGGGAAUAUUGCACAAUGGGGGAAACCCUGAUGCAGCGACGCAGCGUGCGGGAUGACGGCCUUCGGGUUGUAAACCGCUUUCAGCAGGGAAGAAGCCUGACGGUGACGGUACCUGCAGAAGAAGUACCGGCUAACUACGUGCCAGCAGCCGCGGUAAUACGUAGGGUACAAGCGUUGUCCGGAAUUAUUGGGCGUAAAGAGCUCGUAGGUGGUUGGUCGCGUCUGCUGUGGAAACGUAACGCUUAACGUUGCGCGUGCAGUGGGUACGGGCUGACUAGAGUGCAGUAGGGGAGUCUGGAAUUCCUGGUGUAGCGGUGAAAUGCGCAGAUAUCAGGAGGAACACCGGUGGCGAAGGCGGGACUCUGGGCUGUAACUGACACUGAGGAGCGAAAGCAUGGGGAGCGAACAGGAUUAGAUACCCUGGUAGUCCAUGCCGUAAACGUUGGGCACUAGGUGUGGGGGACAUUCCACGUUCUCCGCGCCGUAGCUAACGCAUUAAGUGCCCCGCCUGGGGAGUACGGUCGCAAGGCUAAAACUCAAAGGAAUUGACGG